GAUGAACGCUAGCGAUAGGCUUAACACAUGCAAGUCGAGGGGCAGCAUGGUCUUAGCUUGCUAAGACUGAUGGCGACCGGCGCACGGGUGCGUAACGCGUAUGCAACUUGCCUCACAGAGGGGGAUAACCCGUCGAAAGACGGACUAAUACCGCGUACACUCCAUCUUGGGCAUCCAAGGUAGAGGAAAUGAAAUUCGCUGUGAGAUAGGCAUGCGUCCCAUUAGCUAGUUGGUGAGGUAACGGCUCACCAAGGCGACGAUGGGGAGGGGAACUGAGAGGGCGAACCCCCACACUGGUACUGCGACACGGACCAGUCUCCUACGGGAGGCAGCAGUGAGGAAUAUUGGUCACUGGGCGAGAGCCUGAACCAGCCAAGUCGCGUGAAGGAUGACUGUCUUAUGGAUUGUAAACUUCUUUUAUGCGGGAAUAACAAGAGUCACGUGUGACUCCCUGCAUGUACCGUAUGAAUAAGCAUCGGCUAACUCCGUG
Molecule: ribosomal RNA, 490 nt
Filed under: uncultured bacterium
Lineage: Bacteria
Description: partial 16S ribosomal RNA
Rfam family: Bacterial small subunit ribosomal RNA
Source: RNAcentral